Molecule: ribosomal RNA, 439 nt
Filed under: uncultured bacterium
Lineage: Bacteria
Description: partial 16S ribosomal RNA
Rfam family: Bacterial small subunit ribosomal RNA
Source: RNAcentral
CUACGGGUCGCAGCAGUGAGGGAUAUUGCACAAUGGGGGGAGCCCUGAUGCAGCAACGCCGCGUGGAGGAUGACGCAUUUCGGUGUGUAAACUCCUUUUAUAUGUCAAGAAAAUGACGGUAGCAUAUGAAUAAGCACCGGCUAACUCCGUGCCAGCAGCCGCGGUAAUACGGAGGGUGCAAGCGUUACUCGGAAUCACUGGGCGUAAAGGACGCGUAGGCGGGUUGGAAAGUCAGGUGUGAAAUCCUACAGCUUAACUGUAGAACUGCACUUGAAACUUCUAAUCUAGAGUAUGGGAGGGGGAGAUGGAAUUAGUGGUGUAGGGGUAAAAUCCGUAGAUAUCACUAGGAAUACCUAAAGCGAAGGCGAUCUCCUGGAACAUUACUGACGCUAAGGCGUGAAAGCGUGGGGAGCAAACAGGAUUAGAUACCCCAGUAGUC